CAAGAUGGAUGGGGUGGGGGUAGCAUUCAGUGGAAGGUGUCAUUAGGGAUCAGCUUUUCAUGUUGGGGGAUGAUGAGAGGGUGUCCCCUGCUUGGGUCUGUGCCAUGUUGACGUCACUGGCUGGCGGAGAGGCUCUCCAGAUCCUCCAACCAAUCAGCGCGCGGCUUGCAUCCGCCUCUGAAUUAUUAUUGUGAACUGUUAAACAUCCUUCAUCAGACAGCCAAGGAGAGGCCAACAGAGCAGGCAGCCAUUAUCCUACCAUGGAAUGAAAUGGCCAACUUUAAAUGUACAUACUGGGUGUUUUUCUUUUGUUCCCAAGAAGGGACUCUUUUUAAUUGAAUCCACCAUUAACAGGAUACCAGUGUGUGUCUCUUUUAUAUUUGCCAUUUUAAUGGAUUUUUGGAAGAAGGAGGAUUAAAAAUACAUAAUUAACAAAAAUGCUUGGAUUUUCUCCUUAUCAUUUGGAGUCCAUCUUUGUCAAAUGUAGAUCAAGGCACACCCUAUGUCAGAACUAAGUAAAUACAUUUCUCUUUUUUUGGUGGUCCAAGAUCUACCAUGUAUAAGUUUCUCUGAUAUUUAUGAACAAAUAAAUUUGAGAUAUUGUGUUUUUGCUCAUACCCUG
Molecule: long non-coding RNA, 622 nt
Organism: Bombina bombina (fire-bellied toad)
Lineage: Eukaryota; Metazoa; Chordata; Amphibia; Anura; Bombinatoridae
Exons: 2
Source: RefSeq, a predicted model, not a curated record